Molecule: non-coding RNA, 72 nt
Organism: Bos taurus (domestic cattle)
Lineage: Eukaryota; Metazoa; Chordata; Mammalia; Artiodactyla; Bovidae
Source: Rfam
UCCCUGGAAGUCCAGUGGUUAGGACUUGGUUCUUUCACUGCCUUGGCCCAGGUUCAAUCCCUGAUCAGGGAA